GACGAACGCUGGCGGCGUGCUUAACACAUGCAAGUCGAACGGAAAGGCCUCUUUCGGGGGGUACUCGAGUGGCGAACGGGUGAGUAACACGUGAGUAACCUGCCCUUGACUUUGGGAUAACUUCAGGAAACUGGGGCUAAUACCGGAUAGGAGCUCCUGCUGCAUGGUUGGGGUUGGAAAGUUUCGGCGGUUGGGGAUGGACUGGCGGCUUAUCAGCUUGUUGGUGGGGUAGUGGCUUACCAAGGCUUUGACGGGUAGCCGGCCUGAGAGGGUGACCGGCCACAUUGGGACUGAGAGACGGCACAGACACCGACGGGAGGCAGCAGGGGGGAAGAUUGCACAAGGGGUGGAAGCCGGAUGCAGCAACGCCGUGUGCGGGAUGACGGUCUUAGGGUUGAAAACCGAUUUCGCUCAUGACGAAGCUUUGUGUGACGGUAGUGGGUAAAGAAGCACCGGCUAACUACGUG
RNAcentral lists this ribosomal RNA (467 nucleotides) under uncultured bacterium. Its description in RNAcentral is "partial 16S ribosomal RNA". It matches the Rfam family "Bacterial small subunit ribosomal RNA", at positions 28 to 507 of the family's 1533-position model. The record is from RNAcentral.